UUCAGCUAACAAUUCUUGUACAUCUACCCUGUUAUAGGUUCUGGGAAAGGCUGUUAAUAUCUAUUGUUGAUUCUGCAAAUGACAGAGGCAGUAGACACUGCACAGGAAAACACAGCAAUUCAGAGAGGCUUAUCAUUUGCCUGUGGUCGCAUGGAUACCUUGUGGACUUGCCAAGAUUGGUCCAGCUCUCCCAGAGAGUACCUUACAGGUACAGCUUCCAAGGCAGUCAACUGUCUGGCCAUAAAGCGUGAUGGAGCAUGUAACAAUUACGUAAUGGCUGCAGAGACCUAACAGAUACGACUUAGUAUCUUUUAUAUCCUACCACCGGAGGAUACAAUAAAAGCAAGAUUUAAAUAUGUGUCAAUAAAGCUGAUACGGCACCAGCAGAACAGGCAACUCCAAGUCCUCUGGGUUUCUCGGUUCUCUGUUAGACCCUUUGUUAGAGAGAGGAUGUUCCAGAACCUCCAGCUGUGUUCUUUUGCACCAUGUUUGGGUAGAUGAACGUCACAAGGCUAUCAGCAAAUCCAGCUAAAACUUCUGCCCUUCUACCAUCUAUACUGGAAAUCUAUGGUUCUGGGGCUCCCCAGCUGCACCCUGAAAUGGAAGGUACACCCUAAAGGAGAAGCCUCCUGCUUCUGCUCCAGGAUUCAGCGAUGAGGAGCAUGGGGUGAAGGCUUUCUGGAACGUGUAGAGCACUGCUCCUCCAGCUCCUUCCUUCAACACUCCCAAGCCAGCCUCAUUUUCAAGUCGCACUUCCAUGUGGGGAGGAAAAAUGACAAUGCCAUCCAAUCUUCCUCCUUCCUCUUAAGCAUUUAGUAUAAAUCUGUGCACAGUGUUUCAAGCUUAGUCCUUCAUAUUCAAUCUUGACAUCCUUAACUUCCCCCAAAACUCCUAUUAUUUUCUCAAUAAAAUCUGUUUAUUGUAAA
Molecule: non-coding RNA, 926 nt
Organism: Oryctolagus cuniculus (rabbit)
Lineage: Eukaryota; Metazoa; Chordata; Mammalia; Lagomorpha; Leporidae
Source: RefSeq, a predicted model, not a curated record